RNAcentral lists this ribosomal RNA (405 nucleotides) under uncultured bacterium. RNAcentral's name for it is "bacterial SSU rRNA". It matches the Rfam family "Bacterial small subunit ribosomal RNA", at positions 355 to 774 of the family's 1533-position model. The record is from RNAcentral.
UGGGGAAUAUUGCGCAAUGGGGGAAACCCUGACGCAGCAACGCCGCGUGAAGGAUGAAGGUUUUCGGAUCGUAAACUUCUUUGAUGAGGGACGAACAAAAUGACGGUACCUCAAAAACAAGCCACGGCUAACUACGUGCCAGCAGCCGCGGUAAUACGUAGGUGGCGAGCGUUGUCCGGAAUUACUGGGUGUAAAGGGCGUGUAGGCGGGGAUGUAAGUCAGAUGUGAAAUUCCAUGGCUCAACUGUGGGGCUGCAUCUGAAACUAUGUCUCUUGCGUGCCGGAGAGGGAAGCGGAAUUCCUAGUGUAGCGGUGAAAUGCGUAGAUAUUAGGAGGAACACCAGUGGCGAAGGCGGCUUUCUGGACGGUAACUGACGCUGAGGCGCGAAAGCGUGGGGAGCAAACA